This 3752-nucleotide long non-coding RNA is filed under the name Sorghum bicolor (sorghum). RNAcentral describes it as "long non-coding RNA (SBIC_LNC016386)". Lineage: Eukaryota; Viridiplantae; Streptophyta; Magnoliopsida; Poales; Poaceae. The record is from RNAcentral.
UAUCUAGAUCUACUCUAGUUUAGGGAUGAGAUGAGAGCUCUCAUCUCCAAACCCUAGCUUUUGCUCUGUCUAUGAAUAAUGAAUAAGGAUGAAGGGGUUGUCUCCUCCAGGGGCCACGGGGCCUGCUUAUAUAGCCCUUCCAAAUGAAUGUGGGCGGUCGGAUCAAACCGACCUUAAUCGCACGGUUUUCCUUGAUCCUUUAGGUCGGUGGAGCAUAAUCCGCGAGGCGAAACGUGAUUGGCUCCUGUAGCAGGGCGGGCACGCAUGGGGGGAGGGCGGGCGCCCUACCCCCGGGCCCGAUUGGCUUCUCGUUCGUUCCCAUGGCUUCUGGAGUCUUCUAGAUGAUGGAAAAUUGCACGGCACGUUAAUAUCUCUAUGUAAACCUGAAGUGUGGGCCUUUCCUCCAUAUUUCCUGAUAACCCCUUGUAGAAAUAGACAAACACCAAAACUCGUGGAAUUCUGUCAGAUAAAACCCUAAGUCUGGGUGUUGGUUGCAUCUGGAUCCUUUUCUUUGUUUAUUUGAUAAUUAAAUUUGGUACUUAAGGACCGUCAACAACUCCCCCAAGCUUACCUCUUGCUCAUCCCUGAGCAAGGAUGGACUCAAGAGUUUCUGCAGUGGUUUCAAGCCUUAAAUGUACACAAGCGUUCAAACAAGAUCUCAUCUCUAGGUUAGGGUAAGCUCUUAAGAUUUAAAACUUACUCAUUUUACCUUCCACCAUGGGGCUUGCAACCGUCACUUGUGUCUUGAGCAGUUAAAAGAUAAAACGGUCAAGUCAAGCGUCAUGUCUCUUGUUCUUGAUCAACUAUAGCUCUGGAGUUUUUGCAGAUUUUCAAAUAAAACUCAGAGAUUCCUUGUAUGACUCUCUCAAUUCUCUCUUUUGUGGUAUUUCUAGAUCCUUACCAAGGCAGUGAUGGUAUAUGCCUUCUCUCAAAGCAUGUGGUAUUUUUGGUAUGAGGCAUAGUGACAUUACGUUCUCUCUCACCCUACUCUAAUAAGGUUUUGAUAUCUGGAGCUCAUAGGUGGGAGACAGCUAAUACAUACUUACAAGACAUUUAUUGCAUAGUCAAACCAUGGAUCUAGAGAAACAAGUCAAUAAGUCAAAUCAAGAUGUGCAUGUGUGGCGAAUGAAUGGUGUAUGGUGAUGAUGGUGAUAAUGGUGAAAACGAUGGUGAAAGUCUAAUUCUACUUUUGCUCUUUUGAGGGGAUACAUACCUUUCUUGCACUUUCAAGCUUUUUGAGGGGGAAUGAGAUGCUCUAUAUUUUAUUUUUCUUUUCUCUUAGGUGGGUAUCUUGUACCCCUAAUUCUACUGUCGGACACUUGUGUAUUUUUACCUCUCGUCUCACUUUUUCUUUUCUUCGAGGUUCUGGGCACUUGCCCCUUUUUAUUUCCUCGUAUUUUUUUUCUUUUUUUCUUUUUUUAAAGCACUCACCUUCCUGGAAUAAUAUAGCAAGUGGUAGUAACCAAAAUAUCUCGAGCAUUUAUUUCACAGGGAAAAACAGGAAUGGGAUAAUGUUUUUGGCUAUUCUCUCCCGGAUAGGAGUAGAAUAAUUUUGGGUGAAUCUGAAGAUGGAAAUGAGUGGAUGUAUGUGGAUGCGUACUUCCGGAGUAGAAGCAGCAUGUAUGAGUGAACGUGCAAGUGAAUCAUGAUUUUAACCGCAUGACAAGCUCCUAAGGGUCUACACAGCUUGACCACACUCAAUGCUCAUAAGCAGUAAAAGUAAUGUAUGGUUCAUAGUCUAAUAAGCAUAUAUAUAUGACUGUGGUAGGAUUUUAAACUCUCAUCAUACAGGAACUUAUCAUGCAACAUUUUAAAGAUUUUCAAAGAUAAAAUUCUCUAGAAUUCUAGCAUCUCUAGGAACAGAUAAACAGCAGCUCAACCUUCUCAUAUCAUAUCCGUUAACGACUUAGACUUUUGAUCAGGUAUGCAAGCUUUAAAUUAUAACAGUUAUGCCUAAACUUGAGAGAGAGCUCAAAUUUAAAAACUAGGUACUUGGCAGAGCAACUAUUCAUCAUAUCCAUGUAAGAGUUUAUCAUUGGAGGUCAAUUUGGCAUAGACAUUUUAUUUAUUUAUUUAGCAAACUAAGCAAAGAUAUAAGCACCAAAUCUUUAUUUGGGUUUUUAUGAUUAUGCAUCAUUUUAUUGUUUGAGUAAAGUAUAAAUGCGAAUAUAAACACUUAGCUAGAUAAAUGGGGGUGCUCUCCCCCAAGCUGGAUUUUGACGUAAUUUCUUCUGAUGUAUCUAGCAGGUGGCAGAGGUGUAUUUGAAUGUCGGCAGCACCCUAACGGCGAUUAGGAUGUCCUCCGUCUGCUAGUCUUCUUUGAUCCUUGAAUUCUGUGGAGCUCAAAUAGACAACAAAGCUUUGUGGAACUAGUUAAGUGUUAGCAUAAAUAUCUAGCCUUUAUCAUGUUGAGCUUCCUCUAAUAAAUUUUACUCUCUUUGGUAGGAUCAUAAUCUUAUUUUUAUAUUUUCAUUUUUAUAAGACAGGAAUAUUUUUAUUUUUACGCCACCAUAGUGAAUGUACUUAUUUUGAAUAUGCUUACUAUUUUUAAUUUCUUUUCAAGAUAGCAUGAUUUAACUAACAAGCUAUUUAAGGAAAGUCAAUAAUUUGAGAGAAAAGGGAAUGCAGAAAGGAUAAAUAUGGAUAACUACCGAUUUUACCUUUCGGCGAGGGUUCAUUCUUUAGGUGCGUCAUUUGAUUCAGGUGUGGACCUUGAUGUCUGCACCUCUUGAUACGGUGUCACCCAUGUUCUUUGUUUGCCCAGCAAUUCGAAGUGCGGCGUUGGCAGUAUCUUGCACAGUGUGUUUGUGCUCGUAGAUCCACGUCCUUCACUUGGUAGAGUCUAGGAGUUGAAAAAUCCUCCAUGUUUCUCACAAUGUGUCCUCCUCAUAGAGACAAGGCAGAGAUCAAGUGCAUGGGUCCUGUUGGUGGAAAACACCAACAGAACCAAAAGUGUAUUUGUUCUUCUCUAACCUUAAGCAUAGUGACCAAGACAAAGUUGAUGGAUAAUAAGAUCAUGAGUGUAGCAUUUAAAACAUUUGUCAGAUCAGAUCACUCAACCUAAUGGAAAGAUAAUCUAUCUAUGUAUAUGUCUUUUUCUUUAUAUCUUCCCAAAGAUUGAAUGUGCAACAUUUUAGCCCAUAUGAUUGGGGGUGUGGGAUCAUGGAGGUAGUACUAGGAAUAAAGAUUAAAGGAUUAAACAUGCUAAAUCAGUUGGGUUGGUUAAUUUAGAGUUAUAAAUCAUACAUGUUUGUCUCUUUAUUUAUGUGAACGCCAGAACCAGGAAGAAGCUUAUAAAAGUGAUAGUCACAUAUCUUAAGAUGUUAUCUUAAUUGAAGAGUGAUGGUAUCAUCUCACCUUGUGGAAGCUUCCCAUUCGUAGUGGCUGUGUAUCUUGUUUAUGUACUUUGUCUCCUUCCAUGGAUCAUCUCUCUAUGAUGAAUGAGCUAUGUCCUUCUUGUGCAAAUUGUUAAACUUCAUGUGUCUCUCUCUUCAUCUCCGAUGUGAGUUUAUCUCAGGACUUCCAAAUUGAUAUUGGAAGUUUUUCUGCAGGGGUUAGUCCGACAAAAUAUACCAAGCAGUUUUCAGUUCAAUAACCGAACUAGACUCCAUGUCUAAUCAGAUUAAGGAAGGCUGUUUAACCUAAGCACCAUGCUUAAUUUAAAAGUCAGUAGAAGUAUGUGCAGUACUUCCAAACUAACACUUACUAGGAUAAACAAAGGUAGUGUGAUGGCUUUUAUAGAGAUCUACUCA